Molecule: ribosomal RNA, 598 nt
Filed under: Claviceps purpurea (ergot fungus)
Lineage: Eukaryota; Fungi; Ascomycota; Sordariomycetes; Hypocreales; Clavicipitaceae
Description: eukaryotic LSU rRNA
Rfam family: Eukaryotic large subunit ribosomal RNA
Source: RNAcentral
UUGACCUCGAAUCAGGUAGGAAUACCCGCUGAACUUAAGCAUAUCAAUAAGCGGAGGAAAAGAAACCAACAGGGAUUGCCCCAGUAACGGCGAGUGAAGCGGCAACAGCUCAAAUUUGAAAUCUGGCCCCUUGGGGCCCGAGUUGUAAUUUGCAGAGGAUACUUUUGGCGAGGCGCCUUCCGAGUUCCCUGGAACGGGACGCCAUAGAGGGUGAGAGCCCCGUCUGGUUGGAUGCCGAGCCUCUGUAAAGUUCCUUCGACGAGUCGAGUAGUUUGGGAAUGCUGCUCUAAAUGGGAGGUAUAUGUCUUCUAAAGCUAAAUAUUGGCCAGAGACCGAUAGCGCACAAGUAGAGUGAUCGAAAGAUGAAAAGCACUUUGGAAAGAGGGUUAAAAAGCACGUGAAAUUGUUGAAAGGGAAGCGCUUGUGACCAGACGUGGGCCUGUCGGAUCAUCCAGCGUUCUCGCUGGUGCACUCCGGCGGGCUCAGGCCAGCAUCAGCUCGUCCCGGGGGACAAAGGCAGCGGGAAUGUGGCUCCUUCGGGAGUGUUAUAGCCCGCUGCGUAAUGCCCUGGGGCGGGCUGAGGUUCGCGCAUCUGCAU